AUGUCAUGGUGUGGACACUUAACCAGCAUCCCUUUGAAUCUCUCCCACGCUUCUUGCAUUGUUUCCGUUGGUUUCUGCCUAAAGCUUAAGAUCUCAUCAACUU
Molecule: small nucleolar RNA, 103 nt
Filed under: Nicotiana sylvestris (wood tobacco)
Lineage: Eukaryota; Viridiplantae; Streptophyta; Magnoliopsida; Solanales; Solanaceae
Also listed under: 1 other name
Description: Plant small nucleolar RNA R71
Rfam family: Plant small nucleolar RNA R71
About the family: R71 is a member of the C/D box family of snoRNAs containing the C (UGAUGA) and D (CUGA) box motifs. Multiple nearly identical copies of this snoRNA have been identified in Arabidopsis, and it is thought to function as a 2'-O-ribose methylation guide for 18S ribosomal RNA.
Source: Rfam by way of RNAcentral